Molecule: ribosomal RNA, 216 nt
Filed under: Glomeromycotina sp.
Lineage: Eukaryota; Fungi; Glomeromycota
Description: partial small subunit ribosomal RNA
Rfam family: Eukaryotic small subunit ribosomal RNA (bases 40-216)
Source: RNAcentral
GGGACUGUAGGCUGGUCGUGCCACCGGUACGUACUGGUCUCACUGAUUCCUCCUUCCUGAAGAACCGUAAUGCCAUUAAUUUGGUGUUGCGGGGAAACAGGACUGUUACUUUGAAAAAAUUAGAGUGUUUAAAGCAAGCAAACGCUUGAAUACAUUAGCAUGGAAUAAUGAAAUAGGACGAUCGAUCCUAUUUUGUUGGUUUCUAGGAUUGACGUA